GGGCAAGGCAAGGUCCCUGUUCUUAUGGAGCUAGCACUGAGGUGCAAGCCCAGAGGCAGUCUAUACCCCAACUCAACUGGCUGGUCCUCAAUGCUGCCUGCUUCCGUGCCCAACUUAGAACUACACAUCUGCUGCCUCUUGGUAACAUGUCAUUAUAAGGCUUCUUCAUCAGCCCUAACCCUGCCAACCACUCCUGCCUCACUGAAUGUGCCAACGGAUUGCUCAGCUCCAACCAAGGAAAAGAAGAAGGAAGUUGGAUACUUUAUACCCUCUACAUUGUCCAUUAGCAACACAACCUAGAGCUAGGAUGGAGAAAGAAAAUGCCAAAAUGCUAAUGAAAAAUGUUCAGAUGUAUCACAUAUUAAGCAUACAUGAUCUCAAAUAUUUUGCCUGAUUUAUGCUAUGCAUGCUAUUUUCCAUGUUGUGUAGGCUCUGAUGCUAGUCUACAUUUACAGAAAUCUCCAUCAGCUGUACAAAUGGCAAUUUAAAUACAUUUAACUAUGUGCUAAUAAUCUCAUAAUACAAUUUAUCAUGUAUGAUUGGCAGAAGAAAUUAUUUGGGGCAAAAGCUAUGAUUGUAUUGUUGUAAGUUAUUAUGAAUGCUGGGCAGUGUAGGGCAUGGCACUUGCUACCACCUCCCAGAAAUGUGUAAGGGCUGUUGAAGGUGCCUUGUUCUUCUUUCUUCUUCAAUAUAAGCAAAGCUAUUUAUAUCAUAAAGCUGAAACUUGAAAUUCCACCCUUGCCUAUUCUUUUUCCUCAGAAAGAUGUCUUUCUUUCUAAGAAUAUAUUGCACUUAAGGAUAGGAGGUGUCUCCUUUGGAC
Molecule: long non-coding RNA, 820 nt
Filed under: Homo sapiens (human)
Lineage: Eukaryota; Metazoa; Chordata; Mammalia; Primates; Hominidae
Description: non-protein coding LNCARSR:13
Source: RNAcentral